GGGAAUCAAAGGAGCAAUCCGCUGAGGGAUGGACUCGCGUCCGAUUAGCCAGUUGGCGGGGUAAUGGCCCACCAAAGCGACGAUCGGUAGCCGGACUGAGAGGUUGAACGGCCACACUGGGACUGAGACACGGCCCAGACUCCUACGGGAGGCAGCAGUGGGGAAUAUUGGACAAUGGGCGAAAGCCUGAUCCAGCCAUGCCGCGUGUGUGAAGAAGGUCUUCGGAU
RNAcentral lists this ribosomal RNA (227 nucleotides) under uncultured bacterium. RNAcentral describes it as "partial 16S ribosomal RNA". It matches the Rfam family "Bacterial small subunit ribosomal RNA", at positions 196 to 423 of the family's 1533-position model. The record is from RNAcentral.